This 1684-nucleotide long non-coding RNA is filed under the name Olea europaea (common olive). RNAcentral's name for it is "long non-coding RNA (OEUR_LNC014282)". The record is from RNAcentral. Lineage: Eukaryota; Viridiplantae; Streptophyta; Magnoliopsida; Lamiales; Oleaceae.
UCGCUAACGUGUUUCGCUAUGUGGAGUGAAGCCCUAUAAAAGCCUCACCCUUCCCCAUCUCUCUUUCCGUCAGAUUUUCUCUCUCUAUAUGCGCAGUUUCUCCCCCGUUUGGGAAAGCUCUCUCUCUCUAAGUCGACUCUUUGCAAUCCACCCAUAAGCAUUUGAGUACAUAUCAUUUCUAUUUUGCAUAUUCUCUGCUUGAUUUUGCACAUCUAGGUUUUAAUUUGAAUUCAGAUUCGAAUGUGAAUCUUUUGUGUUACGGAGUAGGUUGUUUAACUAAGGGAAGCUAGGAUUUUUCUUCAACUACAGUGCAUUUUGUUGCAGUUAUAGGAGGGUGAUUAAUUCGAUCUGUGCCCGAAUGGAUUCGAUAACAUCUUCGUUAUUGCCAAUUGCAAGUAGAGAUGCUGAGGCUGCAGCGGGGACGGUGUCUGUAGACGAUUUUGCUAUGUCAGUUACUGCUAGUUUCGCUAAGGAGGCUACCUUGCGCUUCCAAGCUGGGAAGUUUGCGGACUGUGUGAAAGUCUUGAAUGAACUCUUGCGGUUAAAAGAGAACGAUCCGAAGGUGGUUUAUUUCUGAAAUUCUGGAUUAUGAUGAAUAGUCUCAUUUUUAUUGUUCGGUGUUGAGUCCAAGUUUUAUAUUUAUUUCUAUUCUGGUCGGGGUUGUAGCUGAUUUUUUUUUUUUUAUUGCAUCCUGGGGAUUUACACUUGGAUUUAAGAGAGAUGCGCGUAAUGACCGAGACAUAAACAAAUAGUAUUUCUGUUCUAAUGGGAGAAAUCAUAUUCUUAAAGUUGCUACUCGAUCAAUGCUAUUGUACUUCAUUUUAGGGUCUGAGUUGUUCUUGACGUGCAGCAUAUCAUAUUUUUCUCUCUUAUGCCUCAUAGUUUGCCUUCUUAUGACUUUUUGGGUACUUGGUAGAAGAACUAAUCUUAUGUGACCAUCGUUGUGCCUGGCUUCUAUGUCUGGGAUUGUAAGAAUGGUUGACUCUCGAAAUGUAGUUUAGGCCUGGUAUUUUGAGGUAUGUGGCAACAUGGUUUUGUCAGUAGUUUUAAAAUGUUGUGGAAUCUUAGUGCACGAUGAAAUGUAAAUUUUCUCCAAAGGACCAUUUUUUCUAAGGCCAAGAAGAAAAAAUUUUACUCAAGAAUUCACAUGUCCAUUUACUUCUUCAAUAGCCAUCAAGGCCAAAACAUUCCCUAGUUGAUCAACUUGACCUCUAACUCGAUCCUCAACACAAUCAACUCGAUCCUCAAACUUGAGCCUUUGCUUGAUCAACUUGAUCCUCAAGUUACACGGAAAACUCAUGAGUCGAAAGCUAGAACUCUACCUUAUAUAUACUCCCUUAUUGUUCGAGUUUCUAGUACAUAUGAGAAAUUUAUCAUCUUUAAGAUGGGGUUAAUUUUGAAAUUAUGGAAGAUUGACUAAAUAAGUAAGGCUUCUCAUAAAUCUUGAGGGGUAGCUCAGUAGUCAGGCCUUGGGUUUACUUUCCGGUGGUCACCAGUUCGAGUCCUUUUAGGGCCACUGAGAUGAGUAUCCGGCUAUAAAAUUCAGGGCCCCGUGGGAUUAGUCGAGGUGCACGUAAGCUUGUCCGGACACCCACGGUCAUAAAAAAAAAGUAAGGCUUAUCAUAGAAAAGUUUUAAAAGAAGUCUGGUACCGUAAAAACUAUGCUAUAGUGAGAUUAGGGGUA